AUUGAACGCUGGCGGCAUGCUUUACACAUGCAAGUCGAACGGUAACAGGUUAAGCUGACGAGUGGCGAACGGGUGAGUAAUGCAUCGGAACGUGCCCGGUCGUGGGGGAUAACGCAGCGAAAGCUGCGCUAAUACCGCAUACGAUCUGAGGAUGAAAGCGGGGGACCGUAAGGCCUCGCGCGAUCGGAGCGGCCGAUGUCAGAUUAGGUAGUUGGUGGGGUAAAGGCUCACCAAGCCAACGAUCUGUAGCUGGUCUGAGAGGACGACCAGCCACACUGGGACUGAGACACGGCCCAGACUCCUACGGGAGGCAGCAGUGGGGAAUAUUGGACAAUGGGGGCAACCCUGAUCCAGCGACGCCGCGUGUGUGAAGAAGGCCUGCGGGUUGUAAAGCACUUUUAGUGGGGAUGAAAAGCUCAGGGCUAAUACCCUUGAGUCUUGACCUAACCCAAAGAAAAAGCACCGGCUAACUCUGUGCCAGCCGCCGCGGUAA
RNAcentral lists this ribosomal RNA (493 nucleotides) under uncultured bacterium. RNAcentral describes it as "partial 16S ribosomal RNA". It matches the Rfam family "Bacterial small subunit ribosomal RNA", at positions 29 to 523 of the family's 1533-position model. The record is from RNAcentral.